Long non-coding RNA from Ochotona princeps (American pika), 732 nucleotides. RefSeq lists it as uncharacterized. The transcript is spliced from 4 exons. The record is from RefSeq and is a predicted model, not a curated record. Lineage: Eukaryota; Metazoa; Chordata; Mammalia; Lagomorpha; Ochotonidae.
CGGGAACGGACCUAGUCUUGUUUAUAAAUCUUAACGUGGCGUUCGACCCUGAGCCAGCUCUCCCUCAGCCACCCGCUGAAAAAUCAACACAAACAUGCCAAGGUAAUAACAUGCCGAUUGAGUGCCAAGACCAGGAAUAUGUAAGGCAAGCUCUGAAACUGAACAGUUCCCUUCUUGGGAGGAGUUGAGUGAUGGGACCUGAGACAAAAAUGAGCAUGGAAGAUGUUUAAAGGGGGAAAACAUCUAAAGGAAAUGAAAUGAACUGGCUGCUGAAGUUCUUGAAGUUCGGGCACAGGAACCCCAUGGGAACCAGUUCGUAGGUUGCAAGUACAGAAUAGAAUUCUUCGAAUCAAUGAGUUGCAGUGAGCUAUUUGAAGUCAUAAAGACCUGAUUUCAAAUCCCAGGCUUGCCACUGACCAGAGACCUGACUCCAGGCUCUCAACUAUCCCUUAGAGAUAGAUCCAAAAAUGCUACAAAGGAAAUAUUCAUGAGAAGAAUUUAAAGUUCCUAAACCACAUGUGAUUUACACCCACCAGUUUUGAGAAUGUUUCCUCACUUUCACAAGGAAGUUUGUACCUCAGCUGAUUUCUGUAGCCGGUUGCUGGCAUCAAGCAAACGAAGUUUGAGGUCUCUGAGUUGAAAAACGGAGGGGAUGUGUCCUGUGAGAUGAGUACGUUGAUUGCCAACACCUUCUGGAAGGAGUUCCUGGUUCUGUGGGCAACCAGCCGUUUG